This is a non-coding RNA of Bursaphelenchus xylophilus (pine wood nematode), 47 nucleotides long. The record is from Rfam. Lineage: Eukaryota; Metazoa; Nematoda; Chromadorea; Rhabditida; Aphelenchoididae.
CAAACGGCCCUCUUUAGGGCCACAUAUUACACGUAAUUUUUUAACCU